Molecule: long non-coding RNA, 204 nt
Filed under: Prunus persica (peach)
Lineage: Eukaryota; Viridiplantae; Streptophyta; Magnoliopsida; Rosales; Rosaceae
Description: long non-coding RNA (PPER_LNC006702)
Source: RNAcentral
UUGGCUAGACCCUUGCCAGCACACUCUUUAGUUGUGCUUUUUAAAUGUUUAUUUUUAAAAAGACUUGGUUUUAAAAGAACUGAAUGGUAUGGGUUCAAAGACGACGGCGGUUGUUGAGAAAAGUAUCACUAACUUUGCUAUUAAAGUGGAUGAUGUUGUUGUUCUCUAAAUCACUUCAUUGCAAUGGCAUCCUCUUGUUGUUUU